UAGGGAAUCUUCCACAAUGGACGCAAGUCUGAUGGAGCAACGCCGCGUGAGUGAAGAAGGGUUUCGGCUCGUAAAGCUCUGUUGUUAAAGAAGAACACGUAUGAGAGUAACUGUUCAUACGUUGACGGUAUUUAACCAGAAAGUCACGGCUAACUACGUGUCAG
RNAcentral lists this ribosomal RNA (164 nucleotides) under uncultured bacterium. Its description in RNAcentral is "partial 16S ribosomal RNA". It matches the Rfam family "Bacterial small subunit ribosomal RNA", at positions 355 to 511 of the family's 1533-position model. The record is from RNAcentral.